UUAAAACCCAAAGGACUUGGCGGUGCUUUAGAUCCACCUAGAGGAGCCUGUUCUAGAACCGAUAAUCCCCGUUUAACCUCACCUUUCCUUGCCUAAUCCGCCUAUAUACCGCCGUCGUCAGCUUACCCUGUGAAGACCCUAAAGUAAGCAAAGCUGGUUCACCCUAAAACGCCAGGUCGAGGUGUAGCGAAUGGGAGGGGAAGAGAUGGGCUACAUUCAAUAGCUUGUACUGAAUACGAACGACACCCUGAAAAAGGUGCCCAAAGGAGGAUUUAGUAGUAAGCGGAGAUUAGAGUGCUCUACUGAAAUUGGCCCUGAAGCGCGUACACACCGCCCGUCACUCUCCCCGAAACUUACAAAAUAAAUUACUAAUAAACUAAAACUAUAAAGGGGAGGCAAGUCGUAACAUGGUAAGUGUACCGGAAGGUGCGCUUGGCAAAAC
RNAcentral lists this ribosomal RNA (442 nucleotides) under Pictilabrus laticlavius. Its description in RNAcentral is "partial 12S rRNA". It matches the Rfam family "Bacterial small subunit ribosomal RNA", at positions 894 to 1527 of the family's 1533-position model. Lineage: Eukaryota; Metazoa; Chordata; Actinopteri; Labriformes; Labridae. The record is from RNAcentral.